GGGCAUCUUGAGCUGCAGGCAUCUCGCGCUGCGGGCAUCUCCCGAGCAGUCCCAGCCCCCACCCCUAAGCGCAAGCGCCACUCUGAGCACAAACACAGAAGACUGGCAGCUUGGCAGCCAUGACAAAUGUUUUCCUUCUGAUCCAGACAUAGGCUGAGAGAUGUUUCACAAAUUUCUUUGGCGUUCAAAUGUUAAAAUGCUCAUGGUUAAUAGCCAUUUAAUGUUUUAUGUUAAGCUUACUGCCUAUAUUGUACUAUACUGUUAUCAGUCUUCUAAAAAUGCUCAUGGUUGAUAUUAAGCUUACUGCCUAUA
Molecule: long non-coding RNA, 312 nt
Organism: Cavia porcellus (domestic guinea pig)
Lineage: Eukaryota; Metazoa; Chordata; Mammalia; Rodentia; Caviidae
Exons: 2
Source: RefSeq, a predicted model, not a curated record